This 460-nucleotide ribosomal RNA is filed under the name uncultured bacterium. RNAcentral describes it as "partial 16S ribosomal RNA". It matches the Rfam family "Bacterial small subunit ribosomal RNA", at positions 338 to 795 of the family's 1533-position model. The record is from RNAcentral.
CCUACGGGUGGCAGCAGUGAGGAAUAUUGGUCAAUGGACGAGAGUCUGAACCAGCCAAGUAGCGUGAAGGAUGACUGCCCUAUGGGUUGUAAACUUCUUUUAUAAAGGAAUAAAACGAGGCACGUGUGCCUGUUUGCAUGUACUUUAUGAAUAAGGAUCGGCUAACUCCGUGCCAGCAGCCGCGGUAAUACGGAGGAUCCGAGCGUUAUCCGGAUUUAUUGGGUUUAAAGGGAGCGUAGAUGGGUUGUUAAGUCAGUUGUGAAAGUUUGCGGCUCAACCGUAAAAUUGCAAUUGAUACUGGCAGUCUUGAUUACAGUUGAGGUAGGCGGAAUUCGUGGUGUAGCGGUGAAAUGCUUAGAUCUCACGAAGAACCCCGAUUGCGAAGGCAGCUUACUAAACUGUGACUGACAUUGAUGCUCGAAAGUGUGGGUAUCAAACAGGAUUAGAUACCCCAGUAGUC